Molecule: ribosomal RNA, 459 nt
Filed under: uncultured bacterium
Lineage: Bacteria
Description: partial 16S ribosomal RNA
Rfam family: Bacterial small subunit ribosomal RNA
Source: RNAcentral
CCUACGGGAGGCAGCAGUGAGGAAUAUUGGUCAAUGGUCGGGAGACUGAACCAGCCAAGCCGCGUGAGGGAUGAAGGUACAGAGUAUCGUAAACCUCUUUUGUCAGGGAACAAAGGCGGGGACGUGUCCCCGGAUGAGUGUACCUGAAGAAAAAGCAUCGGCUAACGCCGUGCCAGCAGCCGCGGUAAUACGGAGGAGGCGAGUGUUAUCCGGAUUUAUUGGGUUUAAAGGGUGCGCAGGCGGUCUGUUAAGUCAGAGGGAAAAGCCCGGGGCUCAACCCCGGCCCGCCGUUGAAACUGGCAGUCUCGAGUUGGAGAGAAGUAUGCGGAAUGCGCGGUGUAGCGGUGAAAUGCAUAGAUAUCGCGCAGAACUCCGAUUGCGAAGGCAGCAUGCCGGCUCCACACUGACGCUGAGGCACGAAAGCGUGGGUAUCGAACAGGAUUAGAUACCCUUGUAGUC